AACGCACAUUGCGCCCUUUGGUAUUCCUUAGGGCAUGCCUGUUCGAGCGUCAUCUAAGACCUUCAAGCACUGCUUGGUGUUGGGCGUUUGUCUCGCCUCGGGCGCGGACUCGCCUCAAAAGCAUUGGCGGCCUGUGUAUUGGCUUCGAGCGCAGCAGACUCGCGUAUCGUCCCUCUGGCACAGGCGUCCAGCAAGCCUCUUACUCCAAGUUUGACCUCGGAUCAGGUAGGGAUACCCGCUGAACUUAA
Molecule: unclassified non-coding RNA, 248 nt
Filed under: uncultured fungus
Lineage: Eukaryota; Fungi
Description: partial contains 5.8S ribosomal RNA, internal transcribed spacer 2, and large subunit ribosomal RNA
Source: RNAcentral